RNAcentral lists this ribosomal RNA (475 nucleotides) under uncultured organism. RNAcentral describes it as "partial 16S ribosomal RNA". It matches the Rfam family "Bacterial small subunit ribosomal RNA", at positions 332 to 798 of the family's 1533-position model. The record is from RNAcentral.
UACACUCCUGCGGGAGGCAGCAGUGGGGAAUUUUGGACAAUGGGCGAAAGCCUGAUCCAGCAAUGCCGCGUGAGUGAAGAAGGCCUUCGGGUUGUAAAGCUCUUUUGUCAGGGAAGAAACGGUGAAAGCUAAUAUCUUUUGCUAAUGACGGUACCUGAAGAAUAAGCACCGGCUAACUACGUGCCAGCAGCCGCGGUAAUACGUAGGGUGCAAGCGUUAAUCGGAAUUACUGGGCGUAAAGCGUGCGCAGGCGGUUUUGUAAGUCUGAUGUGAAAUCCCCGGGCUCAACCUGGGAAUUGCAUUGGAGACUGGAAGGCUAGAAUCUGGCAGAGGGGGGUAGAAUUCCACGUGUAGCAGUGAAAUGCGUAGAUAUGUGGAGGAACACCGAUGGCGAAGGCAGCCCCCUGGGUCAAGACUGACGCUCAUGCACGAAAGCGUGGGGAGCAAACAGGAUUAGAAACCCUUGUAGUCCCAU